Molecule: transfer RNA, 74 nt
Filed under: Buchnera aphidicola (Cinara cuneomaculata)
Lineage: Bacteria; Pseudomonadati; Pseudomonadota; Gammaproteobacteria; Enterobacterales; Erwiniaceae
Description: transfer RNA Arginine
Rfam family: tRNA
About the family: Transfer RNA (tRNA) molecules are approximately 80 nucleotides in length.
Source: RNAcentral
GCAUCCGUAGCUUAGUUGGAUAGAGCACUCGGCUACGAACCGAGAGGUUGAAGGUUCGAAUCCUUCCGGAUGCA